RNAcentral lists this ribosomal RNA (434 nucleotides) under uncultured Hyphomicrobiales bacterium. Its description in RNAcentral is "bacterial SSU rRNA". It matches the Rfam family "Bacterial small subunit ribosomal RNA", at positions 341 to 792 of the family's 1533-position model. The record is from RNAcentral. Lineage: Bacteria; Pseudomonadati; Pseudomonadota; Alphaproteobacteria; Hyphomicrobiales.
ACGGGAGGCAGCAGUGGGGAAUAUUGGUCAAUGGGCGCAAGCCUGAACCAGCCAUGCCGCGUGAGUGAAGAAGGCCUUAGGGUUGUAAAGCUCUUUCAGCGGGGACGAUAAUGACGGUACCCGCAGAAGAAGCCCCGGCUAACUUCGUGCCAGCAGCCGCGGUAAUACGAAGGGGGCUAGCGUUGUUCGGAAUUACUGGGCGUAAAGCGCGCGUAGGCGGACGCUUAAGUCAGGGGUGAAAUCCCGGGGCUCAACCCCGGAACCGCCUUUGAUACUGGGCGUCUGGAGUCCGGAAGAGGUUGGUGGAAUUCCGAGUGUAGAGGUGAAAUUCGUAGAUAUUCGGAGGAACACCAGAGGCGAAGGCGGCCAACUGGUCCGGUACUGACGCUGAGGCGCGAAAGCGUGGGGAGCAAACAGGAUUAGAUACCCUGGUA